This 176-nucleotide long non-coding RNA is filed under the name Monodelphis domestica (gray short-tailed opossum). RNAcentral describes it as "lncRNA (ENSMODG00000040324.1)". The record is from RNAcentral. Lineage: Eukaryota; Metazoa; Chordata; Mammalia; Didelphimorphia; Didelphidae.
AUACUAGAAUACUUCCCUCUUCUUGGCAGGUAGUUGAUGAGCCAGAGGUACAGAAUGUGACAUGAAGCCUCAGAUACUGAUAGUAUGUUGAAUUAUUUUACUGACUUAUGAAUUUGGCUUACCAGACUGGGCUGGGGAAAGGAUAGUGAAUAACAAUAGAUUUAUAGAGAGAGGGG